Long non-coding RNA from Sphaeramia orbicularis (orbiculate cardinalfish), 648 nucleotides. RefSeq lists it as uncharacterized. The record is from RefSeq and is a predicted model, not a curated record. The transcript is spliced from 3 exons. Lineage: Eukaryota; Metazoa; Chordata; Actinopteri; Kurtiformes; Apogonidae.
CAUGCACACACACAAGCACACACAGCACCCAGAGUUGCAAGCCUCUUAAAAUAUUUCUUUGUUCAAACAGACUUCUUAAAAGACAGAAAAAAGAGGAGAACUGAAGAAGAAAAGGGGAAGAAAGACUACUAUUGAGAGGAAGGAAUGCGCAGUCGUAUUGCCGGGUUAAGUCCCAGGGCCGUGAGGAGCAGACAGGUGUCGGAAUGGAGCAUGGCGAGAGUUGGACCCAUCAUACACAUCACUCAGCUAGCCAAGGUAGAAGCUCAAACAGCAGAGCGGGGGCAGUUUUACGCAUCAUGGCAAAGACGGGGCAUCCCUGGAAGUGAAUGAGCUUGCACCUGGCGAAAAUCCACCACCUGCUACUGCAUCUCUGGUCUUCCCAUGAUGUUGGAAUCCACACUGCUAACACACUAGCCUCACAAAGCAUCAAAACGCCAUAUUUCUAGGGAGCCAAAGCGGAUAAGAAAUGAGGAGUCUUUGAACUGUCUGGAUGUUUCAAGCCCCUUCUUCUCCUCUCCAUCUAUGAGCCCCCCUGCUGCUUAGUUGGGACAGGGAGAAAGGGGCUGAUCGAUGGGGCCUGACAGCAAUGAAAUGAAUGGAACCAGCUGAUUGACUCAUUAGUGGAGGAGUGAGGGGAUGUGAGCUCUG